Molecule: long non-coding RNA, 794 nt
Filed under: Cervus hanglu yarkandensis (Yarkand deer)
Lineage: Eukaryota; Metazoa; Chordata; Mammalia; Artiodactyla; Cervidae
Description: lncRNA (ENSCHYG00000018331.1)
Source: RNAcentral
GUGGUCCCCACCAAGGAUGGUGACACAGCAGCAUGCCCCGUGAACAUAAGAGAAACACUUGGAGCAAGUGAGGACCACAGAGGCAGAGCUACCUGCUCUCCUGCCGCAGUGCCCCGUUUGCAGCCCCAGGUGCUCCUGUCCGUCAGAGAGCCUCAAGUUGUCUUCUGGUUGUAUGUGCACUCAUCUCCUGCCUUGGGCUCACAUGCUUCUGUUCACUUUCCAGGGCUCCGGAAGCUUUCGUGUCUAUUCAACUAGAAAAGGUGGGGCUGCGGGACAUGAUGCUGAAUGCCUUCCUCCUCAGGAAACAAGCCAUGGCUGACAGAAUGAAAAACCUUGAUGAAAUUGGGAAAGUCAAGAGAGAUGUUAUAGUUGAAUAUUGCCAGAAGUUCAACCGACAUAUGUCUCACUACGCUCUUCGGGGGCAGAUCAUAGCAUACUGCAACAGCCUGAGAGCCCUACUGGACGAUUUCCCUACCAUCAGAGAUACUUUUUUCAUGGUGGGACAACGACAAGAAAAGAAGGGGUUGAGGGACUCCGAUGAUGGCCUCAAGAAUGACCCCAGGCAGCUUUUAGAGCCUUAAAGCUAACUCUGCAGCUGAUAGCCCCUCUCCAUGACAUUGUGGCCUACCUUUUCAGUUUUGCUAAACUUGGAAAUUGUCCAGCAUGUUUUGAAUUUCCUCUGAGUCCUAACCCUCUGAGAGGUGACUGGGGAGGAACUGAGGGUAUUGGUAAGUGAUUAAAGGUGAUUAAAAUGCCUUCAAUAUUCAGUUGAAAUUCCAUGAUGUGCUUUUUUU